This 32-nucleotide non-coding RNA is filed under the name Homo sapiens (human). Lineage: Eukaryota; Metazoa; Chordata; Mammalia; Primates; Hominidae. The record is from RNAcentral.
AAUUCUGGACAGAGAGAAGCAAUCACGCCACC